This 393-nucleotide ribosomal RNA is filed under the name uncultured bacterium. RNAcentral's name for it is "partial 16S ribosomal RNA". It matches the Rfam family "Bacterial small subunit ribosomal RNA", at positions 523 to 918 of the family's 1533-position model. The record is from RNAcentral.
AUACGGAAGGUCCGGGCGUUAUCCGGAUUUAUUGGGUUUAAAGGGAGCGCAGGCGGAGAUGCAAGCGUGACGUCAAAUUUCGGGGCUCAACCCCGUCUCGCGUCGCGAACUGCGUCCCUUGGUUGCAGGAAGGGGAGGCGGAACUCGUGGUGUAGCGGUGAAAUGCAUAGAUAUCACGAAGAACUCCGAUCGCGAAGGCAGCCUUCCGGCCCGUCAACGACGCUCAUGCUCGAAGGUGCGGGUAUCAAACAGGAUUAGAUACCCUGGUAGUCCGCACAGUAAACGAUGGACACCCGCGGUUUGGCCUGUAUGGCUGAGCCGCCAAGCGAAAGCGUUAAGUGUCCCACCUGGGGAGUACGCCGGCAACGGUGAAACUCAAAGGAAUUGACGGGG